This 620-nucleotide ribosomal RNA is filed under the name uncultured Actinomycetes bacterium. Its description in RNAcentral is "bacterial SSU rRNA". It matches the Rfam family "Bacterial small subunit ribosomal RNA", at positions 556 to 1177 of the family's 1533-position model. Lineage: Bacteria; Bacillati; Actinomycetota; Actinomycetes. The record is from RNAcentral.
GGGCGUAAGAGCUCGUAGGCAGUUUGUCGCGUCGGAUGUGAAAACUUGGGGCUCAACCCCAAGCCUGCAUUCGAUACGGGCAAACUAGAGUUCGGUAGGGGAGACUGGAAUUCCUGGUGUAGCGGUGAAAUGCGCAGAUAUCAGGAGGAACACCGAUGGCGAAGGCAGGUCUCUGGGCCGAUACUGACGCUGAGGAGCGAAAGCGUGGGGAGCGAACAGGAUUAGAUACCCUGGUAGUCCACGCCGUAAACGGUGGGCGCUAGGUGUGGGGCACAUUCCACGUGUUCUGCGCCGCAGCUAACGCAUUAAGCGCCCCGCCUGGGGAGUACGGCCGCAAGGCUAAAACUCAAAGGAAUUGACGGGGGCCCGCACAAGCGGCGGAGCAUGCGGCUUAAUUCGACGCAACGCGAAGAACCUUACCAAGGCUUGACAUAUACGGAAAUCUGGCAGAGAUGUCAGGUCCGCAAGGGUCGUAUACAGGUGGUGCAUGGUUGUCGUCAGCUCGUGUCGUGAGAUGUUGGGUUAAGUCCCGCAACGAGCGCAACCCUCGUUCUAUGUUGCCAGCGCGUUAUGGCGGGGACUCAUAGGAGACUGCCGGGGUCAACUCGGAGGAAGGUAAU